This 384-nucleotide ribosomal RNA is filed under the name uncultured microorganism. Its description in RNAcentral is "SSU rRNA". It matches the Rfam family "Eukaryotic small subunit ribosomal RNA", at positions 587 to 972 of the family's 1831-position model. The record is from RNAcentral.
AGCUCCAAUAGCGUAUAUUAAAGUUGUUGCAGUUAAAAAGCUCGUAGUUGGAUUUCUGGUAGGAGUGACCGUGCCGAACUUGAUUGUUCGUGUAUUGUGUUGUCUCCAGCCAUCCUCGUGGAGAACUUUUCUAGCAUUAAUUUGUUGGGAUUGGGACCCGCGUCGUUUACUGUGAAAAAAUUAGAGUGUUUAAAGCAGGCAAUAGCUUGAAUACAUUAGCAUGGAAUAAUAAGAUAGGACUUUGGUACUAUUUUGUUGGUUUGCAUACCAAAUUAAUGAUCAACAGGAACAGUUUGAGGAUAUUCGUAUGAACAUGUCAGAGGUGAAAUUCUUGGAUUUUGAUCAGACGAACUACUGCGAAAGCAUUUAUCAAGGAUGUUUUCA